Molecule: long non-coding RNA, 1435 nt
Organism: Homarus americanus (American lobster)
Lineage: Eukaryota; Metazoa; Arthropoda; Malacostraca; Decapoda; Nephropidae
Exons: 2
Source: RefSeq, a predicted model, not a curated record
GGGUACCUAGUGACAGCACUAGGAUCCCGCUUCCUCUAUCAAGGAAUAAACAAUUGAAAUUGAAAAUUGAACUGCACAGGCUAGCUAGUGCAGCACUCAUACUGUAUUCCUGUCAGAAGUAGUGCUUGGCAGAGAUGCCAGGUACGAUGCUGUUACCAGCUUUGGACUUCUGACCCCAGGACUCGGCUGAAUAUGCUGUAAAUGUUGUUCCUCUUUAAUGGUCGUUAAUUAUGCCUGCACAUCUCUUCAUUUCCGAUUUAAUGGAAUAUUUCUGCUGGUUACCGUCAUUUAAUUUGGUUUAUUUUAGGCAUGAUAAAGGAUUAAUGUGUGGCUGUGCAUUAUUGCAUUUAUAAUGUGCUUGGUGGGAUUUUUUGGGUGGAGGCCAUAUGUGUUUUCAUAAUGGAGUUUUGUUUUCUAUGUAUGAUGAUAUUUAACCUUUCAGGAGCAAAAUAAGGAACAUGUGCUGGAGGUGUGUGUCAUCUCUGGUGCUUGGUGGCUCAAGCUAUGCGAGCAGGCUGCAUAGUUAAUUGUUUUUGCUGUGUAUUCAUACACCAGGCCACGUGAAAGAGUUCUCUCUGUCUGCUUUGAUCUGUUGCGUUGUGUGGUAGUGUCAAUACUGUGUCAAAAUGUUUUUUGUAAUGCCUCCUACUCAUUCACACAUUUUAUACACACACAAUCACAAAGUUUAGCAAUUAUUAAAAUAUUUGUGUCGGUGUGUCUUUAUAGUAAGUGAAUUUUUUACACCCAUGGUGAAUCAAUAACUGAGCAAGAAUUAUAGUACAGUACUCUAUUUUGACCUUAACAUGCAGAGGUCAGCUUAUCUUGUGUUUUUUCACAGGAAGAUUACUAAAAGAUGUGGCAUCAUAUGGUAUAAACGAUAUAUUUGCUAUUUUUUACAGUAUAAUCACAGUCAAGAGAUGUAAGCCUGGAUUUGUGCACCAUGCAGUGAGUGGUGAUAUAGAUGGCGCGGGUGGCAGCAUCACUCCGCUAGUUGCUCCUCCCGGUAAACAACGCCCUGGUCACUCAGGUCGACGCCAUUUUGGUUGCACGGAAGUUAAUUGUCAAGAGCCUCAAGCGUCCCGUGAACUUAUACAGGAUACAAUAUAUUCUGGUGAUACAGCCCCGUGAAUGUAUACAGGAUACAAUAUAUUCUGGUGAUACAGCCCCGUGAAUGUAUACAGGAUACAAUAUAUUCUGGUGAUACAGCAGGGAGGUUUUAAUCUUUCUGACUCGCCCAUGAUGUACAGCAACAGUAGAACAGGAGCUGCUGUGCACCGGCCUAUUGCACAAUGAAGUUUCAAGGACCAACAACACAUCUCGGUAUGACAAGCUAAGACUCAACUAAACAAACUGAUGAAACACCUCUGACCUGUGGGACACACUUGUAUGUGAUGCCAUCAACAGCAACUGAUGAAACACCUCUGACCUGUGGGAG